GGCUACCAUAAUCAAAAGUCGGAAUAGGCUAUCUCUUUUUUCCAGCUCUCUCUUCUCAAAAGUCGAGCUCAAAAUCUCAAUGACGACUCAUUCACUGCACGAAAAAACACAGAUGUCAGUUGAAAAGAGACUGAUUCAAAGAUGGGAUGAUUUUGGUAGAGAUCUUUAAACAAAAAUAAAGACUUAUGGAUGCUUUCAGAUUUGAGGGAAGACUUAGAGACAUGAGAACUUUCAGUAUAUUCAGGUUCAUUUAUCCCUCCAAAAACCUAUCAAAGAUUGAGUGGAUAAGUUAUAAGUCUCUUUCUUCACUUAGACAUUUGUAGUUCUUUUCCCAUACCAAGCUAUAUAUCCUAACAUCAUUUUCCACUUAAUUUACUUAGUCGGUUUAUGCGUUGUAGAUUAAUGUGAGAGAGUUGUAGGUUUCUUUGUGUAGUAUUUGAUGCUUUCCGUUAUAUAUUUUGUACCUGAUGUGUACCAUUUGAUGCCAUCACUUUUAUUAUUCAUUCAAGUGAGAUUCCUUACAUAAAGCACAUGAAUUGGAUUAGACAUUGCUUCGUAUGUUUCAUUCUGGACGCGACUAUAAAAUUCACAUUUCUGCCUGCUCUUUGGAUGUAUAAUUAUCAGUGUAUGUGCCUUGCACGUGUUUCUUUAUUUGUCUUUGUAGUGGCUGUAAUUUCAGGUUUUCGGGUAUUUUCAUUUUUCCAUCUUUCUUCAGUUAUUACUGGCAUGUUUUGUCUAUAUCCACAGUCCAUGUUUUCUCAAAAUCCACUCCUUAUACAGUAAGUGUUUUACAAGUCUCUACUUUGCCAACAUUUGGGUGUGUUAGAUUGUUUCUACGGAUCCGUCCUUGCUCCUAAAUCAUGGCCAUGGUAUGAUAUUUUGUUUAUAGGCAAGUGAUACGAGGCAACAAGUGAAGGCACUUGCUGCUAUAUUUAUGUCGAUAAAUAAAAACUCAGAUUCACUAUGAAAUUCAUUUUUAGGUUUGAAAUUUGAGUAGUAAUUUUAUCCAUAUUAGUUCUGUACUGUUACACUAUGUGAUUGAAUUUUGAUUUUUGGAUUCUUAUGUGUUUCAAUUUUUGUUCUUUUUAGGAGAUUUGUGAUAUUUGAUCUUUCUUCUUUUGAUUUAUGAUAUUUUAUUUUUCUUUUCGUGUUGAUUGGUGUUUUUUUAUCAUCUAAGAAUUCAAAUCUUUAGUGUACCUGUUUGGUGUAUAAUUUGGGCUUUUACUUAGAUGUUGGUGAAGGAAAGGCAAGUGAAUCAUGACAAAUAUCCUGCUGAUCCUGAAGUUGCUGAAAGAUUUCAGAGGUUUUUCUUAAGAGUGGGUUUGUUCGGGGGGGCUUUUAUUAAUGCGUCCCGAGUUUAUGCUGCCUUAGAAUUUUUUUUAAGGGUGGUCUUCUCAAGGGGCAGGAUGAAAAGGAAUCAGGCAGUCUAUGUUAGAGCCACAACAAAUGACCCAGCUAUUCACCGGUUGUUCAGUUUCCCCCGGUAUUUCUGAUUAAUCUAAGAGAAAUUCUUGUUUGGUACUUGCUUGAUCUCAUUGCUGAUCUGAAUGACCAUUUAUUUGGAGUAGCUAUCGACCCACCUUCUUUUUAAAAUUUUGUAACACAUUACAACUACUAAGAUGUGUGUAAUGUACCUGUUGUCCCAAUAGUUUGAAAUUAUAUAUAUAUAUAUAUAUAUAUAUAUAUAUAUAUAUAUAUAUAUAUACUAGAUCGUAAUUUGCAAU
RNA transcript from Papaver somniferum (opium poppy), 1724 nucleotides. RefSeq lists it as uncharacterized. NCBI's taxonomy places the organism in Eukaryota, Viridiplantae, Streptophyta, Magnoliopsida, Ranunculales, Papaveraceae. The record is from RefSeq and is a predicted model, not a curated record. The transcript has 6 exons.